This 485-nucleotide ribosomal RNA is filed under the name uncultured bacterium. Its description in RNAcentral is "partial 16S ribosomal RNA". It matches the Rfam family "Bacterial small subunit ribosomal RNA", at positions 29 to 507 of the family's 1533-position model. The record is from RNAcentral.
AUUGAACGCUGGCGGCAUGCCUUACACAUGCAAGUCGAACGGCAGCACGGGUGCUUGCACCUGGUGGCGAGUGGCGAACGGGUGAGUAAUACAUCGGAACAUGUCCUGUAGUGGGGGAUAGCCCGGCGAAAGCCGGAUUAAUACCGCAUACGAUCUACGGAUGAAAGCGGGGGACCUUCGGGCCUCGCGCUAUAGGGUUUGCCGAUGGCUGAUAGCUAGUUGGUGGGGGAAAAGCCUAGCAAGGCGGCGAUCAGGAGGUGGUCGGAGUGGACGAUCGCCGACAUGGGAACUGAGCCACGGACAUGACUCCUACGGUAGGCCGCAGAGGGGAACUUUGGGCAGUGGGCGAAAGCAUGGUACAGUGAUGCCACGUGUGAUAAGACGGCGUUCGGGGUGUAAUGAACGCUUGUCCGGAAAGAAACCCUUGGCCCUAUUACAGACGGGGGAUGACGGUAACGGAAAAAUAAGCACCGGCUAACUACGUG